CACGCCCUAAACGAUGUCGACUGGUUGUUGGGGGUUUGACACCUUCAGUAACGAAGCUAACGCGUGAAGUCGACCGCCUGGGGAGUACGGCCGCAAGGUUAAAACUCAAAGGAAUUGACGGGGACCCGCACAAGCGGUGGAUUAUGUGGAUUAAUUCGAUGCAACGCGAAAAACCUUACCUACCCUUGACAUGUCCUGAAGCCUGGAGAGAUCCGGGUGUGCCCGAAAGGGAACGGGAACACAGGUGC
RNAcentral lists this ribosomal RNA (248 nucleotides) under uncultured bacterium. Its description in RNAcentral is "partial 16S ribosomal RNA". It matches the Rfam family "Bacterial small subunit ribosomal RNA", at positions 796 to 1041 of the family's 1533-position model. RNAcentral also lists the same sequence under 1 other name. The record is from RNAcentral.